CCACAUUGGGACUGAGACACGGCCCAAACUCCUACGGGAGGCUGCAGUAGGGAAUCUUCCACAAUGGGCGAAAGCCUGAUGGAGCAACGCCGCGUGUGUGAUGAAGGCUUUCGGGUCGUAAAGCACUGUUGUAUGGGAAGAACAGCUAGAAUAGGGAAUGAUUUUAGUUUGACGGUACCAUACCAGAAAGGGACGGCUAAAUACGU
This 206-nucleotide ribosomal RNA is filed under the name Leuconostoc mesenteroides. RNAcentral's name for it is "partial 16S ribosomal RNA". It matches the Rfam family "Bacterial small subunit ribosomal RNA", at positions 308 to 506 of the family's 1533-position model. Lineage: Bacteria; Bacillati; Bacillota; Bacilli; Lactobacillales; Lactobacillaceae. The record is from RNAcentral.